GGGUUUGAUCCUGGCUCAGGACGAACGCUGGCGGCGUGCCUAAUACAUGCAAGUCGAGCGGAACCUUUGGAGCUUGCUCCAUUGGUUUAGCGGCGGACGGGUGAGUAACACGUGGGCAACCUGCCCUGCAGAUCGGGAUAACUCCGGGAAACCGGUGCUAAUACCGAAUAGUUUUUUGCCCCUCCUGGGGCGAAACGGAAAGACGGUUUCGGCUGUCACUGCAGGAUGGGCCCGCGGCGCAUUAGCUAGUUGGUGGGGUAAUGGCCCACCAAGGCGACGAUGCGUAGCCGACCUGAGAGGGUGAUCGGCCACACUGGGACUGAGACACGGCCCAGACUCCUACGGGAGGCAGCAGUAGGGAAUCUUCCGCAAUGGACGCAAGUCUGACGGAGCAACGCCGCGUGAGUGACGAAGGUUUUCGGAUCGUAAAACUCUGUUGUGAGGGAAGAACAAGUACCAAGUAACUACUGGUACCUUGACGGUACCUCACCAGAAAGCCACGGCUAACUACGUGCCAGCAGCCGCGGUAAUACGUAGGUGGCAAGCGUUGUCCGGAAUUAUUGGGCGUAAAGCGCGCGCAGGCGGUCCCUUAAGUCUGAUGUGAAAGCCCACGGCUCAACCGUGGAGGGUCAUUGGAAACUGGGGGACUUGAGUGCAGAAGANGAAAGUGGAAUUCCACGUGUAGCGGUGAAAUGCGUANAGAUGUGGAGGAACACCAGUGGCGAAGGCGACUUUCUGGUCUGUAACUGACGCUGANGCGCGAAAGCGUGGGGAGCAAACAGGAUUANAUACCCUGGUANUCCACGCCGUAAACGAUGANUGCUAANUGUUANGGGGUUUCCGCCCCUUA
RNAcentral lists this ribosomal RNA (850 nucleotides) under uncultured bacterium. RNAcentral's name for it is "bacterial SSU rRNA". It matches the Rfam family "Bacterial small subunit ribosomal RNA", at positions 9 to 842 of the family's 1533-position model. The record is from RNAcentral.